AUGACACAUUCAGCGACGAGCUCUCUUGGAGUUAUGUUGGGUUUGUCGUCAUAUCUUCCAGAACGUUGGACCUGGGAAGGGACCUGUGGCCACAGUUUCAGGAGCCCUGGGAUCUCUGGGAACGCUUUCCAGCACAGCCCUCAGAGNGCAUAUCUUCCAGAACGUUGGACCUGGGAAGGGACCUGUGGCCACAGUCAGUUUCAGGAGCCCUGGGAUCUCUGGGAACGCUUUCCAGCACAGCCCUCAGAGGCAGGGAGAAGCAGAGAUGACAGACAUGUGUACACCGUUGGCUGCAUCGCCCUGCUUGUCUGCCAGACCCAGGGAUGGAGAGGGAGCUGUCACCAAGAGGCCCGCCGUGAGGGACCGCCGUCGUGCUCGCGCGAAGGAGCCCCCCGCACCACAGCGCCCGUGGGCCGCCCGGAGACGCCGGCCUGGGGCCUCCAGUGCGCUGUCCUCUCACUCCGCUGGGGUCGCCCCCAGGACGCACCAGCUGGCCUCGUCCACAGCUGCCUGCCACCCGUCAGUGAAGGCCGCGCCCGAAGCCCCACGGCCCUGGGGGCUGCGCCGACACUGUCCGCUGUCCUCGCUGUGGGUCCCCAACGUACACGUGCUGGUUCGGCUCGUUAGCAAGAGCAGAGGGCUGCCACCGACCUUCGGCUCCGUCCGGAAAGUGCUCUGCACUCUGGCCUUUUCCUAGCCACAGAAAUGGACCGACCUGGGGCCCGGGGGGCUCAGCGGCUGAGCCUCUGCCUUUCGUUUGGGGCAUGACCCCGGGGUCCUGGGAUCAAGUCCCAUGUCAGGCUCCCCACAGGGAGCCUGCUUCUCCCUCUGCCUGUGUCUCUACCUCUCUCUCUCUGGGUCUCAUGAAUAAGUGCAUAAAAUCUUAAAAAAGAAAAGAAAUGGAGUGAACAGCAUCUCUGGAACCUAAUAUGAGCAUAGUUGAUCUUCAAAUGAGAACAGUCACAGAAAGAAUUAUAUAAAAAACUGAUUUGGUGGAAUCCAUCAAGAAUUUUUUUUAAGAUUUUUUUAUUUAUCUAUUCAUGACAGACACAGAGAGAGAGAGAGGCAGAGACACAGGCAGAGGGAGAAGCAGGCUCCAUGCAGGGAGCCCGAUGUGGGACUCGAUCCCAGGGCUCCAGGAUCAGGCCUUGAGCUGAAGGUGGCACUAAACCGCUGAGCCGCCUGGGCUACCCCAUCAAGAAUUUUUUUUAAAGAUAUUAUUUAUUUGAGUAAGAGAGAGAACAUGAGCCGGGGGAAUGGGCAGAGAGAGGGAGAAGCAGGCUCCCCGCUGAGCAGAGAGCCCAACGCAGGCCUCAACCCCAAGGCCCCGGUUCCUGACCUGAGCCCAAGGCCGGCGCUCAACUGACUGAGCCCCCGGCGCCCUUUGAGGAUUUUGGAGCUCCUCCUACGCGCCGCAUUACAGGGGGGGUGAGAGGGGAUCCGUGUCCAGGACAACUGUGUUACCCCUGCUGCUUACAGCCAGGAGCCGGGCAGCUCCUUACGUGAAUCUGGACGGCACAGGAUCCCUCUGCAGGCCUCCCGGACCGUUUCCGUGUACCUGUAAUGGUGAGACCCUUUGGGCUUUUCCUAGGGGCCAGAAGCCAGGGGCGUCGGUGCCGCCCCAGUCGAUCCCGGCCGCCUCCCUGGAGGCAGGCUCUGUGCCAGCGCCCUAACCACCCAGCCGAGCGGCAGAUCAGGGCCAUGGGCGGCCUACCAGGGCCGGCUCACCACACCCCGACGGGCCCCCCAGGUCAGGGGGCCACAGGGAGCCCGAGGGGCCUGGCCCCCGGCGCACCCCAAGACAGCUCAUCAGCACCGGGGCCCCUGACAGUGUGCACCCCGGUGGGAGAUGUGCGUCGGCCUCUCCUGGGGUCUCCUGGUCCUGGAGCCCUGGCCCGCGCUGCACGCCGCCCUCGGCAGGCUCCCUGCCCUCCUCGUCCCCGCAGCCGGACAUUCCGCCACGCUCGCUGUUUGCUGCCUGCACGGUUCAGUUUAAGACCAUGAACCCUUCCGAGGAAAUGUCCUCUUUUCAGAUGGGGGCUGUCGUUGACCUGGGGGUCACGGUGCGGCCCAGGGGGGCCCAGGCAGUCAGGCGGCCCUGAGGUCUCCGGGGGUACUGCAAGCAUGAAGCCUGGGACGAGAAGUGGGGGCACAGGGGUCCCAGAGUCCUCAUGCUGCGCACCUACAGUGACACAAUAGGAUGAAAUCGCCACUACUAAGCGGGAGACGCCGCUGUCACCCCACGGCCUACACCCGCCACCGUGGCCCAAGGGCCGGGAGUCUGCCAUGUCCUGGCAGCUCCAGUGCUGCUGCUCAGUGAAAACCCUUAUUUAACUCAUUCCACGGUUUAAAUACCUCUGAAAGAUGGCCUCUAUAUCAUGCGUCUCCCUUUACCCUAUUACCAUUUGUCAUCAAGACAAGAUCCCAUUGAUGUCUACCCACUGCCACUCACUGCGCGUCUGCUGCAGCGCUGCUUCCUGAGUCCAGCUAGGGAAAUCUGUGUCAUUCUGAUUAUGCACUUAGAGCCCCAUGAAAGGGCAAAGAUGUGGGAAGAAAACCUGUACCCUUCACUCAAAUAAAUAAUAUCUUAAUAAUAAAUAAUAUCUGCCC
Molecule: long non-coding RNA, 2610 nt
Organism: Vulpes vulpes (red fox)
Lineage: Eukaryota; Metazoa; Chordata; Mammalia; Carnivora; Canidae
Source: Ensembl